Molecule: ribosomal RNA, 492 nt
Filed under: uncultured bacterium
Lineage: Bacteria
Description: partial 16S ribosomal RNA
Rfam family: Bacterial small subunit ribosomal RNA
Source: RNAcentral
AGUGAACGCUGGCGGUAGGCCUAACACAUGCAAGUCGAACGGCAGCACAGUAAGAGCUUGCUCUUACGGGUGGCGAGUGGCGGACGGGUGAGGAAUACAUCGGAAUCUACUUUUUCGUGGGGGAUAACGUAGGGAAACUUACGCUAAUACCGCAUACGACCUACGGGUGAAAGCAGGGGAUCUUCGGACCUUGCGCGAUUGAAUGAGCCGAUGUCGGAUUAGCUAGUUGGCGGGGUAAAGGCCCACCAAGGCGACGAUCCGUAGCUGGUCUGAGAGGAUGGGAGGCUACAGUGGAACUGAGGCACGGUUCAGAGUAAGAGGGAAGGCAGCAGUGGGGAAUAGUCCGCAAUGGGUGAGGGUCUGAAGGAGCAAUGCCGGGUAAGUGAGGAAGGUCGGCGGAUCGUAGAAGUCUGUUAUUAGGGAAGAAAAUAAGUCAAAGGAACUCUGCACAUCUUGACGGUACCUAAUCAGAAAGCCACGGCUGACUACGUG